UGGGGAAUAUUGGGCAAUGGACGCAAGUCUGACCCAGCAACGCCGCGUGAAGGAAGAAGGCUUUCGGGUUGUAAACUUCUUUUAAGGGGGAAGAGCAGAAGACGGUACCCCUUGAAUAAGCCACGGCUAACUACGUGCCAGCAGCCGCGGUAAUACGUAGGUGGCAAGCGUUGUCCGGAUUUACUGGGUGUAAAGGGCGUGCAGCCGGAGAGACAAGUCAGAUGUGAAAUCCACGGGCUCAACCCGUGAACUGCAUUUGAAACUGUUUCCCUUGAGUGUCGGAGAGGUAAUCGGAAUUCCUUG
Molecule: ribosomal RNA, 303 nt
Filed under: uncultured bacterium
Lineage: Bacteria
Description: bacterial SSU rRNA
Rfam family: Bacterial small subunit ribosomal RNA
Source: RNAcentral